Molecule: ribosomal RNA, 318 nt
Filed under: uncultured bacterium
Lineage: Bacteria
Description: bacterial SSU rRNA
Rfam family: Bacterial small subunit ribosomal RNA
Source: RNAcentral
GACGAACGCUGGCGGCGCGCCUAACACAUGCAAGUCGAACGGAGUUGUGUUGAAAGCUUGCUGGAUAUACAACUUAGUGGCGGACGGGUGAGUAACACGUGAGUAACCUGCCUCUCAGAGUGGAAUAACGUUUGGAAACGACUGCUAAUACCGCAUAAGCCCACGACCCGGCAUCGGGUUGAGGGAAAAGGAGCAAUCCGCUUUGAGAUGGCCUCGCGUCCGAUUAGCUGGUUGGUGAGGUAACCGGCCCACCAAGGCAACGAUCGGUAGCCGGACUGAGAGGUUGAACGGCCACAUUGGGACUGAGACACGGCCCAG